GCAUAUCAAUAAGCGGAGGAAAAGAAACCAACAGGGAUUACCUCAGUAACGGCGAGUGAAGCGGUAACAGCUCAAAUUUGAAAGCUGGCCCCUCCGGGGCCCGCGUUGUAAUUUGUAGAGGAUGCUUCGGGCGCGGCCCCGGUCUAAGUUCCUUGGAACAGGACGUCAUGGAGGGUGAGAAUCCCGUAUGUGACUGGGUGCCUGUGCCCGUGUGAAGCUCCUUCGACGAGUCGAGUUGUUUGGGAAUGCAGCUCAAAAUGGGUGGUAUAUUUCAUCUAAAGCUAAAUAUUGGCCAGAGACCGAUAGCGCACAAGUAGAGUGAUCGAAAGAUGAAAAGCACUUUGGAAAGAGAGUUAAACAGUACGUGAAAUUGUUGAAAGGGAAGCGCUUGCAACCAGACUUGCGCGCGGGCGAUCAUCCGGGCUUCUGCCCGGUGCACUCGCCCGCGCCCAGGCCAGCAUCGGUUUCGGCGGUGGGACAAAGGCCGGGGGAACGUAGCUCCUCUCGGGGAGUGUUAUAGCCCUCGGCGCCAUGCCGCCUGCCGGGACCGAGGACCGCGCUUCGGCUAGGAUGCUGGCGUAAUGGUUGCAAGCGACCCGUCUUGAAACACGGACCAAGGAGUCUAACAUCUGUGCGAGUGUUUGGGUGUCAAACCCAUGCGCGUAAUGAAAGUGAACGGAGGUGAGAACCCUUCAGGGUGCAUCAUCGACCGAUCCUGAUGUCUUCGGAUGGAUUUGAGUAAGAGCAUAGCUGUUGGGACCCGAAAGAUGGUGAACUAUGCGUGAAUAGGGUGAAGCCAGAGGAAACUCUGGUGGAGGCUCGCAGCGGUUCUGACGUGCAAAUCGAUCGUCAAAUUUGCGUAUAGGGGCGAAAGACUAAUCGAACCAUCUAGUAGCUGGUUCCUGCCGAAGUU
RNAcentral lists this ribosomal RNA (913 nucleotides) under Blumeriella hiemalis. RNAcentral's name for it is "LSU rRNA". It matches the Rfam family "Eukaryotic large subunit ribosomal RNA", at positions 38 to 968 of the family's 3401-position model. The record is from RNAcentral. Lineage: Eukaryota; Fungi; Ascomycota; Leotiomycetes; Helotiales; Drepanopezizaceae.